This 720-nucleotide ribosomal RNA is filed under the name Triticum aestivum (bread wheat). RNAcentral's name for it is "partial small subunit ribosomal RNA". The record is from RNAcentral. Lineage: Eukaryota; Viridiplantae; Streptophyta; Magnoliopsida; Poales; Poaceae.
AUGGCCUGCCUGGGUGGCCGACCUGCCACGGCGGUGGUUACCCCGUCGCCUGCUGCUGCGGCCCUACUUUCUGAGCCGCCGAAGACUGCUUCUGCCCUGGCAAACCAAGGGCGGCAGGUGCAGUUGUUGCUGCAUGGUGGUGGAUCGGAGUGUGCGGCUGCGAUCGAGGCGGCGGCUAGGUCGCCUUCCACGCCGGUGUUUGUGCCCUGCUCGCCGGCCCCUUCCAUCACACACGAGCCUUCUGACACGACGCCCAUCUUGGCCACCCCGUUGGCGACCCCGGCAUCUGCUGGAGCUGAUUCCACGCCAGCUUUUCUCAAGAGAAGGUCCCCUCUGCUGCCAACACCGGUGACGUCCAGGCCGAAGCCGACCAAGGCGAGACGCAAGACUCUGGCCCCUGGCUUCUCGGUCAACAGGAGGAGUGCGCGCCUACAAUCCAAGAACAGGUCCACGCCGGUGGCUCAGAUGGCCGAGAAGAUCCUUUGUCGUAGAGUCGGCAUUGUGCAGGAAGGCGACCAGGUCACUGAAGAUGCUAUCGCGAAGUUCGCGGAGCUGUGCCGGGGCAAGCUUCCCCCGUUAGCUGUUGGCGCACCUCGGGCCCUCUUCCGCCUCGACUGCGACCUUGCGACGGCCGUUGAAGAGGCGCUGAUCGAGCAUGGUGGGGCUGCUGGUCUAGACCACGAGGUGGCUGAUCAGGUGGACUGCAUGGCUGCAGUCUAA